AGCGCGGACCCGGGGAUGGGUCGCGGGGGCGGGGAGAAAGGAGGGACCGUGGGCGCGUGCGCGUGCCGAAGGACGAGAAGGAGAGAUCUGGGCGUGCCCGUGGGACCUCAGCUGUGUGUGGCCGAACGUGACACGCACGUGUGCGUGUCAGAGAGGAGGGGUGUUUUGCAGCUCUUCUUUCUCAGGGGAGCAUCAAGGAAGACAAGCCCAAGGCCCAAGAUACUGCAUUCCCAGCAGAUGCCUUACACGCCCUUUCUUCGUGGGGUCCCCAAGGAGACAGACACACACAAGCAGAGGGAUUGUUGCCACACUUACUGGUCCCAGAGCACAUGUGGCUGGUGUUGCAUGUCAUCACAUCCUCCAAGCCUCCCCUGCCCGGCCCUAAAGGGGAUGCAGACCACGCAGAAGCCUGUGACAUUUAAGGAUGUGGCUGUAGACUUCACACGGGAGGAAUGGGGCCUGCUGGGCCCCACACAGAGGAUCCUAUACCGUGACGUGAUGCUGAGGAACUACAGCAACUUGGUGUCCCUGGGACUUCCCGAUUGCAAACCAGAUGUGAUCUCCAAGCUGGAGCAGUGGGAAGACCCCUGGACUGUGAAGAGAGAUGUCCCAAGAGGUCCAGACUCAGAGCCUGGGCCCCGAGCUGCAUGGCUGCCUCUAGAGAAGGGCGCUCUGCGUCAGGGGCAGAUGACAGUAGGACUCACAGGGCAGGAUUUCUGGCACACCAUCCAGAAAGAAGUCACAGGACAUGAAGGCCAGGUGGCAGACAGACAAUGCCAAGCAGUGACACUCAGCCAGGGAAAGAAGAGCCCAGAGUGGAGCUUUGCAGGAACUUUCUCCUGGCACCCAUUCCUCACUGAGCAUCAGUGCAAUCCUCCAAGGGCUCAAGCUCCCACAAGCCACGUUGGCAAAGAGGGCCUCACCUGCAUUUCAGUCCUAGAUCAGGGGCGCCCCUGCCAAGAAGAAAGAGUGUGUAUGGAAGCCCUCAGCUCUUUUCCAGACCUUAGUCACCCACAAGGAGCUCACAUCGAGGGGGACACAUUGGUGUGUGGUGGGUGGGGAGAUGCCUUUGGCAAGAACACAUGCCUUGUGGGCUGUCAACAGAUUCCCAAUAAACGGAAGCCCUACACGUGCGAGGAGUGUGGGAAGGCCUUUGGACAGAGCACACAUCUCGUUCAACACCAGAGAACCCACACUGGUGAGAAGCCGUACACGUGCCAGGAGUGUGGACGGGCCUUCAGCAAGAACUCGUCCCUGGUUAAGCACCAGCGCAUCCACACAGGUGAGAAGCCCUAUGCGUGCAGCCACUGCGGCAAGCACUUCCGAGAGAACUCCUCCCUGGCCAAACACCAGCGAGUGCACACGGGCGAGAAGCCGUACACCUGUGGUGAGUGUGGGCGCGCCUUCAGCCAGAGCACUCACCUCGUGCAGCACCAGCGGAUCCACACUGGGGAGAAGCCGUUCGCCUGUUGUGAGUGUGGCAGAGCCUUUGCUGACUCCUCAGCCCUCCUGGUCCACCAUAGAACCCACACAGGAGAGAGGCCUUACGAGUGCCGCACGUGCUGCAAGGCGUUCAGCCUCAGCUCAUCGCUGGCCGAGCACAAACGCUGCCACACAGGAGAGAAGCCAUACGCAUGCCGGGAAUGUGGGAAAGCCUUCAGCCAGAGCUCAUCCCUCAGCAAGCACCUGAGGACACACACGGGUGAGAAGCCGUACACAUGCGGGGACUGUGGCCAUGCUUUCAGCCAGAGUUCCUCCCUGGCCAAACACCAGCGGGUGCACACUGGCGAGCGGCCUUACGUGUGUAGAGAAUGCGGAAAGACCUUCAGCCAGGGCUCCUACCUGACCCAGCACCUCAAGAUCCACAGCGGCGAGAAGCCAUUCAUAUGCAGUGAGUGCAGGAAACCCUUCGGCGAUUCUUCAGCCCUAGUCCUGCACCAACGGGUGCACACGGGUGAGCGACCCUACAUGUGUGGAAAAUGCGGGAAGACCUUCAGCCAGAGCAAGUUCCUCACCCAGCACGAGAGGAUACACACUGGGGAGAAGCCCUUUGUGUGUGGUGACUGUGGAAGGGCCUUCCUGCAGAGCUCCUCCCUCACCCUCCACCUCAGGACACACACUGGGGAGAAGCCUUACAAGUGCAAUGAGUGUGGCAAGGCUUACAUCCAGAUGUCGCACCUCACUGAGCAUUACCGGGUGCACACAGGGGAGCGGCCCUACGUGUGCAAUGUGUGCAGCAAAGCCUUCAGCCGCGGCACACACCUCAUGCAGCACCAGCGUGUCCACACGGGCGCCAAGCCCUUCAUAUGCAGCCUGUGCCGGAAAACCUUCUGCGAGGCUGCAGCCCUCAUUCUGCAUCAGAGGGUUCACGCUGGACAGAAGCCCUUUGAGUGUCACAAAUGUGAGAAAAACUUCAGCCAGAGCAGAUCUCUGGUCCAGCAUCGGAAAAUUCAUUCCCAGGGGACACCAUGAGUGCAGCGAGUAUCAGAAAACCCUCAGCAGCUGUUUGGUUCUCAUCCAUCCGUGAACUGGGGGUGUGCCAAACAUGGCAGAGACCUGGCUGUCCUUCAUCCGGCGGAGGGUCCUGGUGGUCGGGCCCAAGAACCAGCUAAAUCCAGCUCCAUGGGUUUGAAGUCCGGCACUACCCAAAUGCGCUCUGGGUCUUUACGCUCUGCCUCAUGUUCCUUGUCUGUAAAUUGGGGAUAGUGACCCCCUCCCCGCAAGGACUUAACAUGUUAACUUGAAGAGAAAAAGUACGUCCAGUGUGAGUGUUGUUCCACCAGGAAGCAGUUUCCGCCAGAGGCAGAACCUGUGCCUAUGGUACAUGACAGAAGAGAAUUUGCAGAUGGGGAAGAGUAUCCUGGGUCACCAGGUGGAUACAAUGUCAUCACAAGAUCCUUCUAAGUGAAAGAGAGAGGCAAAGAGGGUCAGUCAGAGAAGGAAAUAAGACGACAGUGAAGCAGACAUGAAACAAGGAAAGUGGAGGAGGCAAGGAAAUAGGUUUUCACCUGGAGCCUCUAGAAGGAACUGGCCCUGCCACCAGGGCGAUUUUAGCCCCAUGAGACCCAUUUUGGACUUCUGACCUCCAGAAAUGUAAGGUAAUAGAUUUUUGUUCUUAUAAGCUACUAUGUUUGUGGUAAUUUGUUAGAGCAACAACAGGAAACCAAUACAGCCUCUCUAGACACAAACCAGACCAGUGGAGCAGAGCCAAUUGUACCUGGGUGGGGAAAAAAAACCAGGGAUGAUGGUUCAUAGAGGUGAUAAAAUAGAAACCAGGAAAAAUGUGGGGCUCUCUUCACUGGCAGGUGGAUGGAAAGGCAAGUUCUGCUUGGAGGCAGGGAGGCAGUGAUGUGAAGCUGGGCUGGGCAGAGAAGGCAGGGCUGAGAGCUGGAAAACGGGAGCCCCCAGAGAUAACGCCUUCGGUGGUGCAGGAAGAGAUGGUCACAGCAGAGUUGCGAAACUGGACUGACACUGCCCAGAGUGCCUGGUGCACAAAAGGGGCCCAAUAAAGAUGUGGUCUGUUGUUAGGAUUAUUGUGGGUGAGCAUCUUGGGGUUGUUCCUCUGACAACAAAAGGCAGAAAACCACAAGGAGAGGCCAAGAAGACCCAAGGAGAUGAGGGCAACCAGUGCCACCCACAGGCCAAAGCCCAGUUCAGUGCUUGACAGGUGGGAUGGGUCUUGGCCAGGGGGGCGGGGGGGUCGGAGCAAAGGGUUCCUUGGAUUAGGACCCCUGUGGUGUGUCUACC
Callorhinus ursinus (northern fur seal) is the source of this 3747-nucleotide RNA transcript. RefSeq lists it as uncharacterized. The record is from RefSeq and is a predicted model, not a curated record. Lineage: Eukaryota; Metazoa; Chordata; Mammalia; Carnivora; Otariidae.